Tigriopus californicus is the source of this 3436-nucleotide long non-coding RNA. RefSeq lists it as uncharacterized. The record is from RefSeq and is a predicted model, not a curated record. Lineage: Eukaryota; Metazoa; Arthropoda; Copepoda; Harpacticoida; Harpacticidae. The transcript is spliced from 2 exons.
CAUCCGCGAUUUUUGCUUGCCAGCCCUUCCUGACUAGGGGAGCAACUGCCAUGUCUGUCCUCAUACAAAAUACAUCACCACUACCCUUCCAACCAUGGAGGCAAUGAGGGGACGGUAUUUGUCGUCAUUGUGGGUAAAGGUGCACAACUUGGACGCCUCCUCUGAGAGGGGAACUUGAAAAUAACCGUCCACUGCGUCCAACUUGGCAGAAACGCGGGCCUCAGGCAUGACCUGGUGAAUGAGGUCAGGCACGGAAGAUGAAGAAUUAAAAUCAGUUUUAUUCUUUUUUAGAUUGAUAUUACGAGGCCCCCAAUGGAACGGCUUGCCGCCAUGUCGAGAGAGAAGAAGAGAGAGAGAGAGUGAGAGAGAGAGAAGGAGAGAGAGAGAGUGAGAGAGAAUGAGGGUAGCAAGGCUACCACGCAUUCAGGACACGAGGCAAUUUUGUUCCAGAUGUCGUUUUUGAUGACAGACCAAAGGUACAGCUGGGAAACAAGCUCACAUGUUUUAUUGACGCCAGAGUGCCAGGCGUUUAGGGGGUUGAUCACAGCGGGCUGAGCUGGGCGGGGAACAAACAGACGCUCACCUGCAAGUAUAAGGCCAUCCUAGACUUGGAGGGCGUUAACCAGCCCCGCGUAUACCGUACUGGGCACGGUUUUCACGAAGUUGUUGUUGGCAGGAAUUGAUGUUAGAACUCCACUUGAGGCCUCACUGCGGAUCACGGCGGCCAAGCGGGGACUGACCUUGAUCCUCUUGAUGGCAGUUUUGACCUACUUUUCCAUCUUUUCUGGGAGCUCCCCCUCCUUGGAUGGAUCAGAAAGCUCUGCUUUGUUGUUAGCCUUGGCCUCAAGAAGGUUGAUGGUAGCUGCAAUGCCAAUGUAGUAGGACAUGGAAGUCUUAUCCUCACAGGGAAUGACUGAAAAGCCUUAAGGUCCUUGCAGCCAAUGAAUGCUGGGCUAGGAAUGUUUGAGACAACUGCUUCAAUGAGCACAGAUGAGUAGGGAGUCAUUUCAUUGGGGAUGGUUGCCUUGAAGGAGAGUUUCCCAAGAUUGGAGAUGGAGGAACCGUUGGCGGCAACGAGGCGGGUAGCACCUGGGGCGAGCUUGACUCCAAGCCAUAGGACCCUGGUGAGGUUUGUUUGUUUGUGUGUUUGUUCGGAGUCAGAAGACAGCUCUCUUGCUCGGCAUGCUUCUGAUGAUGGGUGUCACAAUUAAGGGAUAUUCCUGCUCCGUUGUCGCAACCAAACGUGCAACAUCAAUUAUUACCUCACCCUCGGGAAUGAUCGCAGGUUCGCCCAUUUAAGCUGUUAAGGCAGCAACUUAUGCUGUAAUUUAAACACCGCAAAGAAGCUUGGACUCAGCUCACCUGGGAUCGAACCAGGAUUCGCGAAUUGGAAAGCAGUUGCUCUACCAAUACGGUACCCCAGCAAGCCUGACCCUGGUGGGGAUGACGGUCCUGGCUGUGCCGGAAUCAGGGAUGCCUGAUAUGAUGAACUUGAGGUUUUCUAAAAUGCAGGAAAGCAUGAUCUUGUUUAGGGUGGAGGAGGAGGCAGGGGUAGCAGUAGCAAUGGCUACUGAGUCUACACAGACAGUGGACGGGCUCCUGGCGACCAGAGGAUGAUGUACGGCGGGAGGGGCGGCCUUGAGAGUCAUCUCUUUGGCCUUUAAUUGGUGCGACAGCGACAGGCUUACUUAAUGUGUCCGGUUUUAUCGCAGAUUAAGCAUUUCUUCUCGCACAUUGGUCCAUGAGUGUGGUGUUGGGAGCCACAGCCCCGGAAGACUACCUCCACAGCAGUUAUGACAGAGGUGGCUGUUUUGAUAACGGGGUGGUGGGCAUGACGUGUUGGAUGGGCGUAAGAGUGGCAAUGGAUUCAGCCAUGAUUGAUUCGUGGAUGGUAGCAGUGGAUUCAGUCAUGAUUGAUUCAUGGAUGGUGGCAGUGGCUUGGAGCUCCUUGAGGGUGGGAUGCAUAACCUUCCUGAGUUCCCUGAAGAGCGCCGUUUCACUGUGGCAGCCUACAAGUGUGAAGAAAACUGUAGAACCUUCCCGGUCAUGGAAUUCAAAUCGACCUUGACUAAAAAGCCAAAAAGUCUGUGGACGAGGGGCCUUUCUUCCUAAAAUUCAGAAUCCCACCUCCUGUCAAAUAGGGGAUAUAGCGUGAGAGAUGGGCCUCAAUGCGUUCAAUGGCGGCCGUGAUCGUUGGCGUGCCGGCAACAACGGCGGAUAAAUCGGGCGCCACACAGGAUCUGGGGACGCCCAUCUGUACGUCAUCCGUUUUAGUGUCAAAGUAAGAUGCCUGUCUGUACUCCUGGAACCGAGUUUUACAUAGCUUCAUUUCAAGUGGGGAUGAGGUGUCCGUGAGGACACUCACUCAUGAGCUUGAACAUGGGAGCCCUAGCUGUGGGAGCCUUGGUGGCGACAGCAGCGUCGUGGGCGUGUCCCUGGCCAUCAGAAGGAUGCCAAGAUCUUUGAUGGCAUUUUCUAUCUCAUUGAGGUUGGUGUUCAUGCGUAAAGACAGGCAGAUACAUGUGGCCAUGUCCUCCUUUGGUGGGCUUUGGACGGGUCCUUGCCAAUGCAAUUUGACCAUUUCUCGGCAAACACCAGCCAUGCGGCCUCUAGUUCCCGGAACUUACUGACAAAGGUAGGGGUGUGGGCCUGUGGUGUAUUCCACUUCCAGAGGAACUGUACCCGGGUCAAGAGACCGUUCUUCGAAUUAGUGAUCGAUUUGGACAUUGUGAUGGGUCAGGUUGUGGACGGCGACAAUCACGGGGCAAUCGGAGGAUCACUGGUGGAAGAGAGGGCGGUAAUAGCUGUGUGGGACCUUAAGGAUGUGGGUGGGGUAACGUAGUCUUUUUAUUAUUUAUGUUUACUUUGGUGCUGAGAAAAAACACAAAACUAGGAUGCAAUUUGGGUUUAACCAUUAAAUUCAUAUAUGGUAUAUGGAAUGGCCUUGGGCUUUCUCAAUUAAUUCGAUCACCAAGUCAAUCUGACGUAGACUGACAUUUUGGUCCAGUGGUCAUUGAAGUCGUUGAGACAAUCCACAUGGGGACGAGAAGUGAUGUCACUGAGUCUCUUCAAGUAGCCCUAACAAAGAUAUCCAAGACUCCAGUUGGUGCAUGGGGGAGUUCCAACCAAUGAUACCGGUAUUUUGACCUUCAACUAUCUCAAGAUUGAAUUCCGUUGCCAACCUCAUCUCCGAUUUCGUGGGGCUCAGAUCAAUCAUGGCCUGAAGGACUUCAAAAAGAUUAAUUCUCGUUGUAAACGAGUUUCCCCAUCAGCCUUACACGCAAUUCUUAUCCUUUCACCUUCAGCCUUAAAUAAGCAGGCUGUGGAUAUGAAUAAUCCCUAACAUUUUUUGGUUUCCAUGGUUUCUGAGUCAAGGGCAAAAUUGCUAUCUUGUGCAAAUAAUUGAGCUUUAAUAAAUAUAUAUAAAUCGCAUCAA